GGAUCAUUACAGAGCUACCGGUGCCCUCUCGGGCGCCUGCUCCCACCACGUGUGAACCUCGACCGUUGCUUUGGCGGGCCGGCAGGCCCUGCCCCCCGGCCCCGGCUGGGGAGCGCCCGCCAGAGGACCCAUAAACCCGUCUCAAUGUGGAAUCUGAGUCUAGUCUAAAAAAGUCAAAACUUUCAACAACGGAUCUCUUGGUUCUGGCAUCGAUGAAGAACGCAGCGAAAUGCGAUAAGUAAUGUGAAUUGCAGAAUUCAGUGAAUCAUCGAAUCUUUGAACGCACAUUGCGCCCUUUGGUAUUCCGAAGGGCAUGCCUGUUCGAGCGUCAUUUCAAACCCUCAAGCACCGCUUGGUCUUGGGCGCCGGUCCGGUGAGGACCCGCCCGCAACCCGUCGGCGGGACCGUCCGGCUCUAAGCGUAGCAAGAAUCUUCCCUCGCUUCGGAGCUCUGGGCGGCCCCCGCCAGGGAAACCUCCUUUCAAAGUUUGACCUC
RNAcentral lists this ribosomal RNA (495 nucleotides) under fungal sp. EXP0537F. Its description in RNAcentral is "eukaryotic LSU rRNA". The stretch from base 178 to 331 matches the Rfam family "5.8S ribosomal RNA". The record is from RNAcentral. Lineage: Eukaryota; Fungi.